Molecule: ribosomal RNA, 526 nt
Filed under: uncultured bacterium
Lineage: Bacteria
Description: bacterial SSU rRNA
Rfam family: Bacterial small subunit ribosomal RNA
Source: RNAcentral
ACGAACGCUGGCGGCGUGCCUAAUACAUGCAAGUCGAGCGCGGGAAGCGGACUCGUCACCCUUCGGGGUGUCUAGUCCGUGGAACGAGCGGCGGAUGGGUGAGUAUCACGUGGGCAACCUGCCUGUAAGAUUGGGAUAACUCGCGGAAACGUGAGCUAAUACCGAAUGAAGUCUUUCACCGCCUGGUGAAAGGAUGAAAGAUGGCUUUUAGCUAUCACUUACAGAUGGGCCCGCGGCGCAUUAGCUAGUUGGUGGGGUAAAGGCCUACCAAGGCGACGAUGCGUAGCCGACCUGAGAGGGUGAUCGGCCACACUGGGACUGAGACACGGCCCAGACUCCUACGGGAGGCAGCAGUAGGGAAUCUUCCGCAAUGGACGAAAGUCUGACGGAGCAACGCCGCGUGAGUGAUGAAGGUCUUCGGAUCGUAAAACUCUGUUGUCAGGGAAGAACAAGUUGUGUUCUAACAGGACAUGACCUUGACGGUACCUGACCAGAAAGCCCCGGCUAACUACGUGCCAGCCGCUGC